This is a long non-coding RNA of Homo sapiens (human), 336 nucleotides long. NCBI's taxonomy places the organism in Eukaryota, Metazoa, Chordata, Mammalia, Primates, Hominidae. The record is from Ensembl.
AUAUUACUGACAGCAUGUGACAGAGAUAUGGAGCAUUUAGAGAAAAUUAACCACAAGAUACACAGAAAGCCAGACAACUAAAAAAUGAGGUCUGUUGGGAUUACUAUCUUAAUGAAUUUCUGGAUAGCUGGUUCAAGACGGCGUAAUUUCACUUUUUCUUCAUCUUCAGACAUCCUAAAAAAAUGUUGUAUGACCUCCCUGGUAACAGCUGUCUUCUCCACUCAUAUAGAAAAACCUAAAAGAAAAAUAUUUCUUUAAGAAUGUUUUCAAAUCUGUUUCCACUAUUUUUAAAAGCCAACGAUUAGUUUUACAAUUUAUUCUAAAUCAAUAAAUAGA